RNAcentral lists this ribosomal RNA (498 nucleotides) under uncultured bacterium. Its description in RNAcentral is "partial 16S ribosomal RNA". It matches the Rfam family "Bacterial small subunit ribosomal RNA", at positions 899 to 1397 of the family's 1533-position model. The record is from RNAcentral.
ACUCAAAGGAAUUGACGGGGGCCCGCACAAGCGGUGGAGCAUGUGGUUCAAUUCGACGCAACGCGAAGAACCUUACCUGGGCUUGAACUGCGGAUGACCGUCCUGGAAACAGGAUCUUCCUUCGGGACGUCCGUAGAGGUGCUGCAUGGCUGUCGUCAGCUCGUGUCGUGAGAUGUUGGGUUAAGUCCCGCAACGAGCGCAACCCUUGUCCCUAGUUGCCAACGGGUAAAGCCGGGAACUCUGGGGAGACUGCCUCGGAAAACGGGGAGGAAGGUGGGGAUGACGUCAAGUCCUCAUGGCCUUUAUGUCCAGGGCUACACACGUGCUACAAUGGGCGGUACAAAGGGUUGCGAUGUCGCGAGGCGGAGCCAAUCCCAAAAAGCCGUCCCCAGUUCGGAUUGCAGUCUGCAACUCGACUGCAUGAAGGUGGAAUCGCUAGUAAUCGCGGAUCAGCACGCCGCGGUGAAUACGUUCCCGGGCCUUGUACACACCGCCCGU